GGAUGCGAUCAUAGCAGCACUAAAGCACCGGAUCCCAUCAGAACUCCGAAGUUAAGCGUGCUUGGGCGAGAGUAGUACUAAGAUGGGUGACCUCUUGGGAAGUCCUCGUGUUUCAUUCC
This 119-nucleotide ribosomal RNA is filed under the name Triticum aestivum (bread wheat). Lineage: Eukaryota; Viridiplantae; Streptophyta; Magnoliopsida; Poales; Poaceae. The record is from RNAcentral.